This 1245-nucleotide ribosomal RNA is filed under the name metagenome. Its description in RNAcentral is "bacterial LSU rRNA". It matches the Rfam family "Bacterial large subunit ribosomal RNA", at positions 1564 to 2818 of the family's 2925-position model. The record is from RNAcentral.
UGAAUACGAGAUGCUACGGCGUCGAAGCAGUGUAUGUCAGACUUCCAAGAAAAGCUCGCAAUGUCAUAAAUAAAGAAUGCCUGUACCAUAACCGACACAGGUGGGUAGGUAGAGUAUACUAAGGGGCGCGAGAUAACUCUCUCUAAGGAACUCGGCAAAAUAACUCCGUAACUUCGGGAGAAGGAGUGCCUUCUUUAAGAAGGUUGCAAUAACAAGAUCCAAGCAACUGUUUAUCAAAAACACAGGUCUCCGCUAAGUCGUAAGACGAUGUAUGGGGGCUGACGCCUGCCCAGUGCCAGAAGGUUAAAGAAGCUGGUUAGCAAUAGCGAAGCUGGUGACUGAAGCCCUGGUGAACGGCGGCCGUAACAAUAACGGUCCUAAGGUAGCGAAAUUCCCUGUCGGGUAAGUUCCGACCCGCACGAAAGGCGUAAUGAUUUGGAUACUGUCUCGGAGAGGGACUCGGUGAAAUAGACUUGUCUGUGAAGAUGCGGACUACCUGCACCAGGACAGAAAGACCCUACGAAGCUUUACUGUAACCUGAAAUUGAAAUUGGACUUUAUUUGCGCAGUAUAGGUGGGAGGCGUUGAAAGUAAUCUUGCGGGAUUAGUGGAGCCAUCAGUGAGAUACCACUCCUAUAAUGUUAGAUUUCUAACUUUGGAUCAUGAUCUGGUCAAAGAACAGUUUCAGGCGGGCAGUUUGACUGGGGCGGUCGCCUCCCAAAUGGUAACGGAGGCGUACAAAGGUUUCCUCUGAACGGGUAGAAAUCGUAUCUAGAGUGUAAAGGCAUAAGGAAGCUUGACUGUGAGACCUACAAGUCGAGCAGGGACGAAAGUCGGUCUUAGUGAUCUGACGGUGCUGAGUGGAAAGGCCGUCACUCAACGGAUAAAAGUUACUCUAGGAUAACAGGCUGAUCUCCCCCAAGAGUUCACAUCGACGGGGAGGUUUGGCACCUCGAUGUCGGCUCAUCGCAUCCUGGGGCGGUAGUACGUCCCAAGGGUUGGGCUGUUCGCCCAUGAAAGCGGUACGCGAGCUGGGUUCAGAACGUCGUGAGACAGUUUGGUCCAUAUCCGGUGUAGGCGUUAGAAUAUUGAGAGGAGCCUUCUCUAGUACGAGAGGACCGAGAAGGACAUACCUCUGGUGUACCAGUUAUCGUGCCAACGGUAAACGCUGGGUAGCUAUGUAUGGAGAGGAUAACCGCUGAAAGCAUCUAAGUGGGAAGCCCACCUCAAGAUGAGUAUUCUCAUC